This 253-nucleotide ribosomal RNA is filed under the name uncultured bacterium. RNAcentral's name for it is "partial 16S ribosomal RNA". It matches the Rfam family "Bacterial small subunit ribosomal RNA", at positions 524 to 776 of the family's 1533-position model. The record is from RNAcentral.
UACGUAGGUGGCGAGCGUUGUCCGGAUUUACUGGGCGUAAAGGGAGCGUAGGCGGACUUUUAAGUGAGAUGUGAAAUACUCGGGCUCAACUUGAGUGCUGCAUUUCAAACUGGAAGUCUAGAGUGCAGGAGAGGAGAAUGGAAUUCCUAGUGUAGCGGUGAAAUGCGUAGAGAUUAGGAAGAACACCAGUAGCGAAGGCGAUUCUCUGGACUGUAACUGACGCUGAGGCUCGAAAGCGUGGGGAGCAAACAGG